RNAcentral lists this ribosomal RNA (434 nucleotides) under uncultured bacterium. RNAcentral describes it as "partial 16S ribosomal RNA". It matches the Rfam family "Bacterial small subunit ribosomal RNA", at positions 29 to 507 of the family's 1533-position model. The record is from RNAcentral.
AACGAACGCUGGCGGCAUGCCUAACACAUGCAAGUCGAACGAUAUCUUCGGGUCUAGUGGCGCACUGGUGCGUAACGCGGGGGGAUCUGCCCUCAGGUUCGGAAUAACCAUUGGAAACGAUAGCUAAUACCGGAUGAUUACCUUAAGUCCAAAGAUUUAACGCCUGAGGAUGAGCGCGCGUAGGAUUAGCUAGUUGGUGUGGUAAAGGCGCAUCAAGGCGACGAUCGUUAGCUGGUCUGGGAGGGUGAGCAGCCACACUGGGACUGAGACACGGCCCAGAAUCCUACGGGAAGCAGGAGUGGGGAAUAUUGGACAAUGGGCGAAAGCCUGAUCCAGCAAUGCUGCGUGAGUGAUGAAGGCCUGAGGGUUGUAAAGCUCUUUUACCCGGGAGGAUAAUGACAGUACCGGGAGAAUAAGCACCGGCUAACUCCGUG